RNAcentral lists this ribosomal RNA (460 nucleotides) under uncultured bacterium. Its description in RNAcentral is "partial 16S ribosomal RNA". It matches the Rfam family "Bacterial small subunit ribosomal RNA", at positions 338 to 795 of the family's 1533-position model. The record is from RNAcentral.
CCUACGGGGUGCAGCAGUGAGGAAUAUUGGUCAAUGGACGAGAGUCUGAACCAGCCAAGUAGCGUGAAGGAUGACUGCCCUAUGGGUUGUAAACUUCUUUUAUAUGGGAAUAAAAUGUUCCACGUGUAGGAUUUUGUAUGUACCAUAUGAAUAAGGAUCGGCUAACUCCGUGCCAGCAGCCGCGGUAAUACGGAGGAUCCGAGCGUUAUCCGGAUUUAUUGGGUUUAAAGGGAGCGUAGGUGGAUUGUUAAGUCAGUUGUGAAAGUUUGCGGCUCAACCGUAAAAUUGCAGUUGAAACUGGCAGUCUUGAGUACAGUAGAGGUGGGCGGAAUUCGUGGUGUAGCGGUGAAAUGCUUAGAUAUCACGAAGAACUCCGAUUGCGAAGGCAGUUCACUGGACUGCAACUGACACUGAGGCUCGAAAGUGUGGGUAUCAAACAGGAUUAGAUACCCCUGUAGUC